AUGGAGAUCGAAUGGAGCAAUGUCGGGGCCGUCGGGGCCUGCGUUGGAGCUUUUGCUGCAUGCGCUACAUGGUGCUGCCAUGGACUUCUAAUGGAGCAAAGCCUUGGGCCGUCGGUGCUUUGCGUUGGAGCUUUUGUUGUGCUACGCCUGCACAGUGCUGCCAUGGAGUCCAAUGGAGAAUCGCUGAAACCAGCACUCAUCCGACAUUACAAAGGUUGGGAAGACACGCAAGUGUUGAUAUUUUUUUAUUUGGUUCGUGGGAAGGUCUCUAAAGAAAGUGCAGACAGCAGGAGAGCCAUGACUGUGUAG
RNAcentral lists this ribosomal RNA (309 nucleotides) under Triticum aestivum (bread wheat). RNAcentral describes it as "partial small subunit ribosomal RNA". The record is from RNAcentral. Lineage: Eukaryota; Viridiplantae; Streptophyta; Magnoliopsida; Poales; Poaceae.